Molecule: long non-coding RNA, 4343 nt
Organism: Heterocephalus glaber (naked mole-rat)
Lineage: Eukaryota; Metazoa; Chordata; Mammalia; Rodentia; Bathyergidae
Source: Ensembl
AGAAGUGCCACAUUGACUGGCACCCUCCUCCCAUACUGUGCCUCACAGCUGGCAGGAGCUGUUUCCAAGUCUCGCUGUGGUGAAGGUCAUUAAGGGACCUUCUAAGAGAUUUUCCAUGCUGAGAAAGACAUCACAAGAGACAAGGGGCAAGGCUUAUUUGUUAAAAGAAGGUUGACUAAGGAAACCUGGCGGAAAGAUAAUAGUUUGACAGAAGUAGCAAGAAGGGAGGGGGAGGGCUGGGGAUUUAGCUCAGGGGUUCCAGCUGCCUGCCCGGUAAGUGAGGACCCGCGUUGAGUUCGAUCCCUGGUACCAAAAAAAAAAAAAAAAGAAGAGAGGGAGAAUAAGUGAUGGGGAGUGCUGGAGUUACCUGCAAAAGAAGAGCAAGGCUUGAGAAUGGAUGUCUGGAGACCAACGAUUCUGUUUCUGUAAAGGCUCUGGCUCAUGCUUGUGAAUUCCAGUUUAUCCUCACUCUACUUUGCAACUGCCUGCCCUUGGACUUCAAGCACCAGCAUUAGAUGUGAAGACAACAGCCUUCUAGAAACUGCUUAACCAGCUGUCUUUGUUUUGUAUGGUGAUGCAGGACUGUAAAAAUGACUGUCCCUCCAAAUAUAAAGAGCCUAAGAGCUUUCAACAAGAAGAAAAAAGGAAAAACAGGUCAAAGCAUCAAGAAUCAGGAGCAGGAUUGAACUCGGGACCUUGCGCUUGCAAGGCAGGCACCGGAACCACUGAGCUAAAUCCUUGGCCCCAGACAACAAUUCUGACAGUGGAGCUGCCAAGUGAUUGAAGAGGGGAAAGCAAGUUGCUCCAGAACCUGGGAAGAAGCAAAAGGCUGGUGGGACUUUGAGAGCUCCGUUGUCUCCUGGGCACAGCAGGAGCAGCAGCAGUGAAAACAACAUGUUCCUGAGUGGGGAAGCAAGGUACUUCAUGCACAGGGUUUGUAAGGAAGGAGAUAACUGUCGUUACUCGCAGGACACCUCUCGGACAAUCCCUACGGUAUACUAUGCAAUUAUUUCCAGCAAGAGUACUGCGUGUAUGGAGAUGGCUACACAUAUGAGCACCGCAAGCCAUUGAAACAGGAAGAAGCAGUAGCUAUAGAUCUAACUGCAAAAGCACCCCUUGCCGCUGCCUCGAGUUCCUCCUCCGUCGCUGAAGCUCUCAGGGAGAUGAAUACAGGCGAGGCUGAGUCCAGAAAUGCAAAUUCCCCGCCCUAGGUACAGUACAGGGUCAGAGGACUGGGUGAAUGCCAUUGAGUUCUGCCCAGCCAGCCCUACUGUGACCACGCCGCCCCUGCCUGCACAAAGGUCCUGGUGCAGGGAUCAGUGCCCAAGGCAGAGUCUGAGGAGCUGGCUACGUGGAGACCGAGAAGCAGCUCUGCCCCUAAGCGCUGUGGGAGAACUGCGUGUGGUGACACCUGGGACAUGUGCGGGCUGCAGGUCCAGCUCCUGGUGGAUACAGUCCAGAGGUCCCAGCAAAUAAAAUCUUGCAUCGAGGCCCAUGAGAAGGACAUGGAGCUGUCCUUUUCGGUGCAGUGCAGCAAGGACAUGGUGUGUGGCAUCUGCAUGGGGUACGAGAAAGCCAACCCCAGUGAGCGCCGCUUCGGCAUCCUCUCCAGCUGAGACCAUACCUGGUGUCUCAAGUGUAUUCGAAAGUGGAGGAGUGCUAAGCAUUUUGAGAACAAGAUCAUAAAGUUCUGGGCUGAAUGCCAGAUCACAUCUACAUUUGUCAUUCCAAGUGAGUGCUGGGUGGAGGAGAAAGAGAAGCAGAAACUCAUUCAGAAAUACAAGGAGGCAAUGAGCAAAGGCAUGCAGGUAUUUUGAUGAAGGCCAUGGGAGCUGCCCAUUUGGAGGAAACUGUUACUAAAUUUUUUUUUUUGGUAUAGGGGAUUGAACUUGGGACCUUGCACUUGCAAAGCAGGUGCCGGAACCACUGAGCUAAUUCCCCAGCCCUUGGAGGAAACUGUUUUUACAAGCAUGGGAACCCUGAUGACUUAAAGAGGAGCCACAGAGACAGAAAGUGGGAACAUCAAGCAGAUACUGGGUCCAACAGAGGAACCACUUCUGGGAGCUCACUGAGGAAAGAGAGAACAGAAGCCCCUUUGACAAUGAUGAAGAAGAGGCUGUCACCUUUGAGCUGGAUAAGAUGUUGCUUAUGCUUUUGGCUGCAAGUGGGGGCAAUGAACUGACUGACACUGACAACGAGUGGGACUUGUUUCACGAUAAGUUGGAAGACUUUUGUGACUUGGACCUCUACCGGCUUUGCAUGGCCUGGGAUCGGCCUACCGAGCCUCAAACAGUAGAUGUCCCCUGUGCCGUAUGGCAGUGAGUUGCUCUCCUACUCAGGCCUCAACUCCAGGUGCUGUCGUGACCACUUACCGGGUCCUACCCCACCCCACUUCCCCAAGACUGUGUCAUUUUCUUGGUUGCAAAAAGUUACAAAAACAAAUCUUCAAGUUAGAAAAAAAAAAGAACCAGUAUAGCUGAACAUGGUGGCACACACUUGUAGCAAGAUCCUGUCACAAAGUAAAAUGGGCUGGGGAAGUAGGUCAGUGAUAGAAAGUCUCCUGGGUCCCAUCCCCAGAAAUGGGGGGAAAACAUCAGAGUGGUACAUUGGCUUCUACUGAAGACAUUGAAUAUUAGAUCACUAUGAAGUUUUGAAUUUAAAACUUAUGGGGGAACAUGAUGUUUAUAUUUAUCCUAAAUAACUAUGUAAAGGUAGUAUAGAGACAUGCAAGUGCUCUGAUGUUUUACUUCCCCAGCACUCAGUCCUAGGACACUCCUGGAGGAUACAUUUUAGCAAAAUGAGGAUGCGUGAUAUGAAAGGAAAAGCUCUGCACCAUGGAAACUGGAGAAACCCAGAGGAGCAAUGAGGACAGGCCCAGCAAGACCCAUGGCAUAGGGUUGUACAAGAAAGAAAACAGAGUAAUGGAAGUCACCAUAAUACCUAAAAUUGAUGAACUAUGACAUAGUAGCAUGUGCAUACUAUUUAGAAAAGUGGAAGAAAACAAGAAAAAAACAUUUCAGAGAGUUGAAAUUGGUUGGUCCUGGAGGAUGGGUAAAGGACAGUUGUGUUUUGUCAUGAAUCUGUGGCCUUUUUGUUUUUAUCUAUGUACAUUACUUGAUAAAAAUGGGAACACUUAUGUACUGCUGAUCCAAAUGUAAGAUGGUGCAGCCAUUAACCUUAGAAAGUUAAACACAGUUACACUAUGUCAGGGUUUGGAGGUGCUAUGUUGCUAUGUCCUCCAGGGCUCAGGGGCUUGGUCUCUACUGCAGCAAUAUUCAGAGAGGGUACUUUUUGGAACCAGAUGGAUCAUGAGGACUCUAACUUCAUCAAUGGAUAAAUCCAUUAAUGAAUUCAUAGCUCAAUGAGCUUAUUAGGAAGUGGAGUCUAGUUGGAAGAAGCAAGUCACUGGGGGUAUGGCUUUGAAGGGUGUAUUUUGUUCCCAGCCCCUUCCUCUCCAGCUCACUCUGCUUACUGACUGCCUUGAUGUGAGCAGCUUUAUUCUGCCAUGCCCUUGUGCCAUUCCUUGUGCUACGGAAUACAGAAUACAGCAAUGGAAGCAGAUACCAUAGACUGACACUUCCGAAACUGUGAGUCAAAAUUAACAUUCUUCCUUUAAGCUGAUUUUCUCAGGUAUUAUAUAACAGUGACAAGAAAGUUAAUACAGCAUACAACCCUGCAAUUUCAUUCCUAGCUAUAUAGCCAAGACAGGUGUUUGCAGGAAUAGUUCUGUAGCAUUCAUAAUAACCAAAAAUGCAAACAAUACAAAUGUUCAUCAGUUGAUGAACAGAGAAAUAAAAUGUGGUAUGUACAUCCAUACAAUGGAAGACUAUUCUGUAAAAAGGAAGGAAAUACUGAUACAUAUUACAACAUGGUGAAACACAAAAGGCCGCAUAUUAUAUAAUUCCAUUAAUGUCAAGUGUUCAGAAUAGGCAACUCUAUAUACACAAAGUUAAUUGAGUAGAUUAGAGAUGUAGCUCAGUGACAGAGUGUGUGCUUAGAAUGGACAAGGGCCUGGAUCUGAGCACUGCUAAAAAGAGUUUAUUGGUUAGCUAAGGGUAGGGGGAGGAAGAGAUGAGGAGUAACUGCUAAGGAGUAUGGGAGUUCUUUUUUGGGGUAAUGAAAGUGUUCUUAGGGCCAGGGAUUUAGCUCAGUGUUUCCAUCACCUGCCUUGUAAGCACAAGGUUCCGAGUUUGAUCCCCAGUACCCCCAAAAAAGUGUUCAUGUGAUGUUUGCACAACAUUGUGAAUAUAUUUUAAAACUACUAAACUGCACACUUUAAAAAAGGCCAACUGGUGAAUUUCAUGUCAAAUUUUAUCUCAAUUAAAGAUAAAUUUAAUUAUAAC